UGAUAGCUUGCCGAGGCCAGUCGAACCCACCUCAUGGGUCAGGGAAUCCGGUGCGAAUCCGGAGCUGACGCGCAGCGGUGAGGGCGACGGGCGGAGCAUCAGCCACUGGACCACCGGGCCCGGGAAGGCGCCCCGCCCGGAUGACCCCGAGUCCGAAAACCUGCUGGCACCUCUGCCCGGCG
Molecule: non-coding RNA, 182 nt
Filed under: Streptomyces tsukubensis
Lineage: Bacteria; Bacillati; Actinomycetota; Actinomycetes; Kitasatosporales; Streptomycetaceae
Source: RNAcentral